CAAGUCGAACGCGAAAGCCCCGCAAGGGGCAAGUAGAGUGGCAAACGGGUGAGUAACACGUGGGUGACCUGCCUUCGAGUGGGGGAUAACGUCCCGAAAGGGACGCUAAUACCGCAUGACAUCCUGCGUUUGGAAACGCGGAGAUCAAAGCCUGGGAUCGCAAGACCUGGCGCUUGAAGAGGGGCCCGCGCCUGAUUAGCUAGUUGGUGGGGUAACGGCCUACCAAGGCAACGAUCAGUAUCCGGCCUGAGAGGGCGGACGGACACACUGGGACUGAGACACGGCCCAGACUCCUACGGGAGGCAGCAGUGGGGAAUUGUUCGCAAUGGGCGCAAGCCUGACGACGCAACGCCGCGUGGAGGACGAAGAUCUUCGGGUCGUAAACUCCUGUCGAGCGGGAAGAACGCUUCCCGGGUGAAUAAUCCGGGGAGGUGACGGUACCGCUAAAGGAAGCCCCGGCUAACUCCGUGCCAGCAGCCGCGGUAAUACGGGGGGGGCAAGCGUUGUUCGGAAUUACUGGGCGUAAAGGGCUCGUAGGCGGCCAACUAAGUCGGAUGUGAAAUCCCCAGGCUUAACCUGGGAACUGCAUCUGAUACUGGAUGGCUCGAAUCCGGGAGAGGGAUGCAGAAUUCCAGGUGUAGCGGUGAAAUGCGUAGAUAUCUGGAGGAAUACCGGUGGCGAAGGCGGCAUCCUGGACCGGCAUUGACGCUGAUGAGCGAAAGCUAGGGGAGCAAACGGGAUUAGAUACCCCGGUAGUCCUAGCCCUAAACGAUGAAUGCUUGGUGUGGCGGGUAUCGAUCCCUGCCGUGCCGAAGCUAAC
This 820-nucleotide ribosomal RNA is filed under the name uncultured Pseudomonadota bacterium. RNAcentral describes it as "bacterial SSU rRNA". It matches the Rfam family "Bacterial small subunit ribosomal RNA", at positions 58 to 856 of the family's 1533-position model. The record is from RNAcentral. Lineage: Bacteria; Pseudomonadati; Pseudomonadota.